UUAAUCCACGCUUGGGCGAGUCGGGGAGAGGUGGAGUGGAACAGAGUUUACCGCCAAAGAGAGUAACCCUACCAAGAUCUUUGUUCCCGCCUCCUGGAAAUCUGCCUGCAGUUGGAGUGUGUCAAUUGGAGUGAGAAGGUGUCUUGUGGGCAUCAAUCCCGAAAGGGGGACGAAGGCCAGUGGGAAGAGGAGCAGAAACUCCCCCUCUAAGGUUUCAUCCUUGCUGAGGAAGGUGAUGGAUUACUGCUACGCCCUGGUGUGAAAAUGGCUGAAUUGACCCAUCAACUAUCCAACAGGCUGAAUUGUCCUGACCAAUAGAAGAAAAAAUUGUUAAUUUCAGAGUGUAAUUGUUAAUUUCAGAGUGUAAGUGUAAAAUUUUAAGUUGAAAAUACACUGCAAAAGUUGAUUUUACUGUAGGAGUGUAAACAAAUAACAAAUAUGUAAGGGAAGAGUGUUGGUCUGAUGUAAUAUUUAUUUUGGUUUCCACUGCUUUAUAGUUUCUGUAAUCACAAUUAGGCUUUCAAUAAUUCGUUUUGUAUGUAAGGAAUCAAUAUAACAUGAGGUUUUUUAUUAUUAUUAUUAUUAUUAUUGAAUCGAUGAAAUAUGAAAAUUAUAAUU
Neoarius graeffei (lesser salmon catfish) is the source of this 618-nucleotide long non-coding RNA. RefSeq lists it as uncharacterized. The transcript is spliced from 3 exons. The record is from RefSeq and is a predicted model, not a curated record. NCBI's taxonomy places the organism in Eukaryota, Metazoa, Chordata, Actinopteri, Siluriformes, Ariidae.